GAUGAGCCGAUGUAGGAUUAGGUAGUUGGUAUGGGUAAAGGCCUACCAAGCCAAUGAUCCUUAGCUGUUCUGAGAGGUUGGUCAGCCACACUGGGACUGAGACAAGGCCCAGGCUUCCAUUGAAGCCAGCAGUGAGGAAUCUUGGACAAUGAGCGGAAGCUUGAUCCAGCAAUACUACAUGAGGGAUGACGGCUUUUUGGUUGUAAACCUCUUUGACUGAAGAGGAUGAUGACAGUAUUCAGUUGAAAAGCCCCGGCUAACUUCGUGCCAGCAGCCGCGGUAAGACGAAGGGGGCGAGCGUUAUCCGGAAUGAUUGGGCGUAAAGGGUUCGUAGGCAGUUCUAUUUGUGAAAGGUUAAAUCUGGGAGCUCAACUCCCAAACGCUUUUUAAACGUUAGAGCUUCUAGUUGGAAAGGGGAUAGCAGAAUUUCACAUGGAGGGGUGAUAUCCGGAGAAAUGUGAAGGAAUCCCAGAGGCGAAGGCGGCUAUCCGGGUCCAAACUGACGCUGAGGAACGAAAGCAUGGGGAUCAAACAGGAUUAGAU
This 543-nucleotide ribosomal RNA is filed under the name uncultured bacterium. RNAcentral describes it as "bacterial SSU rRNA". It matches the Rfam family "Bacterial small subunit ribosomal RNA", at positions 224 to 783 of the family's 1533-position model. The record is from RNAcentral.